CCUACGGGAGGCAGCAGUGGGGAAUAUUGCACAAUGGGCGCAAGCCUGAUGCAGCGACGCCGCGUGAGGGAUGACGGCCUUCGGGUUGUAAACCUCUUUCAGUAGGGAAGAAGCGAAAGUGACGGUACCUGCAGAAGAAGCGCCGGCUAACUACGUGCCAGCAGCCGCGGUAAUACGUAGGGCGCAAGCGUUAUCCGGAAUUAUUGGGCGUAAAGAGCUCGUAGGCGGUUUGUCGCGUCUGCCGUGAAAGUCCGGGGCUCAACUCCGGAUCUGCGGUGGGUACGGGCAGACUAGAGUGAUGUAGGGGAGACUGGAAUUCCUGGUGUAGCGGUGAAAUGCGCAGAUAUCAGGAGGAACACCGAUGGCGAAGGCAGGUCUCUGGGCAUUAACUGACGCUGAGGAGCGAAAGCAUGGGGAGCGAACAGGAUUAGAUACCCUGGUAGUCCAUGCGUAACGUAGGCACUAGUGUGGGACGAUCUACGUUCCGUCGCCGUAGCUACGCAUAGUGCCCGCCGUCGGGAGGUACGGCCGCGACGGACGUAAACCGUACGAAAGAAGUAGACGGCGUGAGACGUGCCGACGGACGACGACGAGGGAGGAGG
Molecule: ribosomal RNA, 602 nt
Filed under: uncultured bacterium
Lineage: Bacteria
Description: bacterial SSU rRNA
Rfam family: Bacterial small subunit ribosomal RNA (bases 1-514)
Source: RNAcentral